This 465-nucleotide ribosomal RNA is filed under the name uncultured Klebsiella sp. Its description in RNAcentral is "bacterial SSU rRNA". It matches the Rfam family "Bacterial small subunit ribosomal RNA", at positions 338 to 795 of the family's 1533-position model. Lineage: Bacteria; Pseudomonadati; Pseudomonadota; Gammaproteobacteria; Enterobacterales; Enterobacteriaceae. The record is from RNAcentral.
CCUACGGGUGGCAGCAGUGGGGAAUAUUGCACAAUGGGCGCAAGCCUGAUGCAGCCAUGCCGCGUGUGUGAAGAAGGCCUUCGGGUUGUAAAGCACUUUCAGCGGGGAGGAAGGCGGUGAGGUUAAUAACCUCAUCGAUUGACGUUACCCGCAGAAGAAGCACCGGCUAACUCCGUCCCAGCAGCCGCGGUAAUACGGAGGGUGCAAGCGUUAAUCGGAAUUACUGGGCGUAAAGCGCACGCAGGCGGUCUGUCAAGUCGGAUGUGAAAUCCCCGGGCUCAACCUGGGAACUGCAUUCGAAACUGGCAGGCUAGAGGCUUGUAGAGGGGGGUAGAAUUCCAGGUGUAGCGGUGAAAUGCGUAGAGAUCUGGAGGAAUACCGGUGGCGAAGGCGGCCCCCUGGACAAAGACUGACGCUCAGGUGCGAAAGCGUGGGGAGCAAACAGGAUUAGAUACCCGUGUAGUC